CUACGGGAGGCAGCAGUGGGGAAUCUUGCGCAAUGGGCGAAAGCCUGACGCAGCAACGCCGCGUGCGGGAUGACGGCCUUCGUGGUUGUAAACCGCUUUCAGUAGGGACGAAAAUGACGGUACCUGCAGAAGAAGUCCCGGCUAACUACGUGCCAGCAGCCGCGGUAAUACGUAGGGGACAAGCGUUGUCCGGAUUCAUUGGGCGUAAAGAGCUCGUAGGCGGUCUAGUAAGUUGGGUGUGAAAGCUCCGGGCUCAACCCGGAGAGGUCACCCAAAACUGCUAUGACUAGAGUCCAGUAGAGGAGCGUGGAAUUCCUGGUGUAGCGGUGAAAUGCGCAGAUAUCAGGAGGAACACCAGCAGCGAAGGCGGCGCUCUGGGCUAGAACUGACGCUGAGGAGCGAAAGCAUGGGUAGCAAACAGGAUUAGAUACCCGUGUAGUCC
RNAcentral lists this ribosomal RNA (442 nucleotides) under uncultured bacterium. RNAcentral describes it as "bacterial SSU rRNA". It matches the Rfam family "Bacterial small subunit ribosomal RNA", at positions 339 to 796 of the family's 1533-position model. The record is from RNAcentral.